RNAcentral lists this ribosomal RNA (253 nucleotides) under uncultured bacterium. Its description in RNAcentral is "partial 16S ribosomal RNA". It matches the Rfam family "Bacterial small subunit ribosomal RNA", at positions 524 to 776 of the family's 1533-position model. The record is from RNAcentral.
UACAGAGGGUGCGAGCGUUACUCGGAAUUACUGGGCUUAAAGCGUGUGUAGGCGGUCCGCUAAGUCGGGUGUGAAAUCCCUGGGCUCAACCCAGGAAGUGCACUCGAAACUGGCGGGCUAGAGUAUCGGAGAGGUUGGUGGAAUUCUCGGUGUAGAGGUGAAAUUCGUAGAUAUCGAGAGGAACACCGGUGGCGAAGGCGGCCAACUGGACGAAUACUGACGCUGAAACACGAAAGCGUGGGGAGCAAACAGG